AUUGAACGCUGGCGGCAGGCCUAACACAUGCAAGUCGAGCGGAAACGAGUUAUCUGAACCUUCGGGGAACGAUAACGGCGUCGAGCGGCGGACGGGUGAGUAAUGCCUAGGAAAUUGCCCUGAUGUGGGGGAUAACCAUUGGAAACGAUGGCUAAUACCGCAUAAUGCCUACGGGCCAAAGAGGGGGACCUUCGGGCCUCUCGCGUCAGGAUAUGCCUAGGUGGGAUUAGCUAGUUGGUGAGGUAAUGGCUCACCAAGGCGACGAUCCCUAGCUGGUCUGAGAGGAUGAUCAGCCACACUGGAACUGAGACACGGUCCAGACUCCUACGGGAGGCAGCAGUGGGGAAUAUUGCACAAUGGGCGCAAGCCUGAUGCAGCCAUGCCGCGUGUGUGAAGAAGGCCUUCGGGUUGUAAAGCACUUUCAGUCGUGAGGAAGGURGU
This 441-nucleotide ribosomal RNA is filed under the name Vibrio sp. R-14928. Its description in RNAcentral is "bacterial SSU rRNA". It matches the Rfam family "Bacterial small subunit ribosomal RNA", at positions 30 to 455 of the family's 1533-position model. The record is from RNAcentral. Lineage: Bacteria; Pseudomonadati; Pseudomonadota; Gammaproteobacteria; Vibrionales; Vibrionaceae.